CCUACGGGUGGCAGCAGUGGGGGAUAUUGCACAAUGGGGGAAACCCUGAUGCAGCGACGCCGCGUGUGGGAAGACGGUCUUCUGGAUUGUAAACCACUGUCCCCAGGGACGAAAAUGACGGUACCUGGGGAGGAAGCUCCGGCUAACUACGUGCCAGCAGCCGCGGUAGUACGUAGGGAGCAAGCGUUGUCCGGAAUUACUGGGUGUAAAGGGAGCGUAGGCGGGGAUGAAAGUUGGGUGUAAAAACUACCGGCUCAACCGAUAGUCGCACUCAAAACUGCAACUCUUGAGUGAAGUAGAGGCAGGCGGAAUUCCUAGUGUAGCGGUGAAAUGCGUAGAUAUUAGGAGGAACACCAGUGGCGAAGGCGGCCUGCUGGGCUUUUACUGACGCUGAGGCUCGAAAGUGUGGGGAGCAAACAGGAUUAGAUACCCCUGUAGUC
Molecule: ribosomal RNA, 440 nt
Filed under: uncultured bacterium
Lineage: Bacteria
Description: partial 16S ribosomal RNA
Rfam family: Bacterial small subunit ribosomal RNA
Source: RNAcentral